This 1291-nucleotide small RNA is filed under the name Pan troglodytes (chimpanzee). RNAcentral describes it as "retained intron". Lineage: Eukaryota; Metazoa; Chordata; Mammalia; Primates; Hominidae. The record is from RNAcentral.
UUUUCUGCCAUGUGACAAAACUCACUUUCAGGUUUCUGCUCAAGUAUUACUUUCUCAAAGAGGUGUCCCACAGGACCUUAUCUGAAAUAGCUUUACAGGAGCAGAAUCUUAAAUACUCUUUACCGUGAUUUAAUUUUCUUUAAAACAUUUAUCACUCCCUGACAUUAUUUUGUUUAUUGAUUGAUUGUGCCAUCCCUCUACUAUAAUGUAAAGUCUGUGAAAUCAGGGGUCUUCUUCACUACUAUAUCCCUAGCCCUCGAGCAGUGCCGAACACACCAUAGCCACUCAAUACAUGUUUGUUGAAUGAAUGAGUGACAGAGUUUCAUACCUUGUAAUCCGUAAUUAAAGAGAAACUUCACCAAGUGAUUUUGGUCUAUUUCUUCUACCUGCAUAUGAACCAGUAAUCUAUAGGAAUGGUAGAAAUCUAUCCUAGUUGAGGGCCAGUGGCUAAGGAAUAAAUGCUAAAUAAAAAGUAACUGUAAUUAUAAUAGUAAUCACUUGUGCUUAUGAUACUCAAGUCAGCGUCCUUCACAUUGGCUUUGCCAUACCUGGUCUUAUCCAGGCUGAGUCCUUCUGAAGAGUUAAUAAGACCAGCUUAUAUUCCCUGUAACUUCUGGAGCUUGGUUCCCCCUUGGUUGGAUAUAGGGUAUUGAUGGCAAAAGAGAGAGAACAUGUACUGGAUUCCCAUUCCCUAUAUCCUUUUCAUUGAUCCACCGUAGGUUUAUUUCUUAGUCUCUGCUUUGCAUAGCUACCUAUAAGUAUAGCGUAGUAUAAACGUGAUACUAAAUCUUGGAGUCUAUCCAUUUAACCAUUUGGAGUAACAAAUUGUAAAAUGUCUUUGGUCAUCCUGAAACAGUCUGGGAUUAGUGGACCAGUUCACUGUUAAGUUACCAGUCCUUGACCUCAUUUUGUCCAUUUGACAGCAUUGUUUGUGCUCCCCAAACCUAAAGUGAUCUCCUGUCUAGAGCAAGGGGAAGAGCCAUGGGUUCAAGUAUCCCCGGAGUUUAAGGAUAGUGCCGGAAAAUCUCCUACAGGGUUAAAGCUCAAAAACGACACUGAAAAUCGUCAGCCUGUAUCUCUUUCUGACUUAGAAAUACAAGCAUCAGCAGGCGUCAUAUCAAAAAAGGCCAAGGUAAAAGUUCCACAGAAAACAGCAGGCAAAGAAAAUCAUUUUGAUAUGCACAGAGUGGGAAAAUGGCACCAAGAUUUUCCAGUGAAGAAAAGAAAGAAACUUUCAACCUGGAAACAAGAGCUGCUCAAACUUAUGGAUCGUCACAAGAAAGACUGUGCA